GUGAGGAAUAUUGGACAAUGGCCGAGAGGCUGAUCCAGCCAUGCCGCGUGCGGGAAGACGGCCCUAUGGGUUGUAAACCGCUUUUGUUGGGGAGCAAUAAGGUCCACGUGUGGAUCGAUGAGAGUACCCAGCGAAUAAGCAUCGGCUAACUCCGUGCCAGCAGCCGCGGUAAUACGGAGGAUGCAAGCGUUAUCCGGAUUUAUUGGGUUUAAAGGGUGCGUAGGCGGAUUUUUAAGCGUGAGGUGAAAUGCCCGGGCUCAACCUGGGAACUGCCUCGCGAACUGGAAGUCUUGAAUGUCCGUGCCGUGGGAGGAAUGUGUGGUGUAGCGGUGAAAUGCAUAGAGAUCACACAGAACACCGAUUGCGAAGGCAUCUCACGAACGGAUGAUUGACGCUGAGGCACGAAAGCGUGGGGAUCAAACAGG
RNAcentral lists this ribosomal RNA (425 nucleotides) under uncultured rumen bacterium. RNAcentral's name for it is "bacterial SSU rRNA". It matches the Rfam family "Bacterial small subunit ribosomal RNA", at positions 354 to 776 of the family's 1533-position model. The record is from RNAcentral.